AAAGCCAUAGACUCUUCAUUUCUUUGUCUUAUUAGCGCAGGUGUUCGUCAACGAUGAAAGCCGCUGAACUUCAGACUCGAGUGGAGAAAGAGGGCUAGGCCCCCGAAGGGCUUUCAGGGACUGGGGAA
Long non-coding RNA from Capsicum annuum, 128 nucleotides. RefSeq lists it as uncharacterized. NCBI's taxonomy places the organism in Eukaryota, Viridiplantae, Streptophyta, Magnoliopsida, Solanales, Solanaceae. The record is from RefSeq and is a predicted model, not a curated record. The transcript has 2 exons.